Molecule: non-coding RNA, 30 nt
Filed under: Mus musculus (house mouse)
Lineage: Eukaryota; Metazoa; Chordata; Mammalia; Rodentia; Muridae
Source: RNAcentral
UAAAAUGCUGUUCCCAGUCCAGUGUGGUGA